This 316-nucleotide long non-coding RNA is filed under the name Anser brachyrhynchus (Pink-footed goose). RNAcentral's name for it is "lncRNA (ENSABRG00000021645.1)". The record is from RNAcentral. Lineage: Eukaryota; Metazoa; Chordata; Aves; Anseriformes; Anatidae.
AAGCCAUCCUGAGAGGCAUCUGCCAUCUUACUCAUGUUAUAACUUAUCGGUCAACUGAGUCUAAAUGGUCAUGACUGUGAGGUCACUAAGGAUCACCAAUUAAAUUACAUAGAGUUUUCUAGAAUAUAGACAUUUGGAAGUAACCCCAGUUGAUUAAUAUAGUAGAGCCAAUGGAAGUAAAAAUGAAGUACUCUGUAAAUGAAAAAUUGCAAGAGCCAUUUCUUCAUCUUGUGGAUUUAGUGUAACUACACUGUUUGAAAGAAGUCCUGGGUUGGAUGUAAGAAUUGCUCAAGAUCUACAAGAGAUUCCACCCUCA